AUACGGAGGGUGCAAGCGUUAUCCGGAUUCAUUGGGUUUAAAGGGUACGUAGGCGGAUAGAUAAGUUAGUGGUGAAAUCCCGAAGCUCAACUUCGGAACUGCCAUUAAAACUGUCUAUCUUGAAUUUGGUUGAAGUGGGCGGAAUAUGACAUGUAGCGGUGAGAUGCAUAGAUAUGUCAUGGAACACCGAUAGUGAAGACAGCUCACUAAGCCAAUAUUGACGCUGAGGUACGAAAGCAUGGGUAGCGAACAGGAUUAGAAACCCGGGUAGUCC
Molecule: ribosomal RNA, 274 nt
Filed under: uncultured bacterium
Lineage: Bacteria
Description: partial 16S ribosomal RNA
Rfam family: Bacterial small subunit ribosomal RNA
Source: RNAcentral